AAUAUUGCACAAUGGAGGGAACCCUGAUGCAGCAACGCCGCGUGAGUGAAGAAGGAUUUCGGAUCGUAAAACUAUGUCAUUGGGGAAGAAUAAAUGACGGUACCCAAUGAGGAAGCCCCGGCUCACUACGAGCCAGCGGCCGCGGUAAUACGCAGGGGGCAAGCGUGUUGCGGAAGUAUUGGGCGUAAAGGGUGCGUAGGCGGACCUUUAAGUCAGGAGUGAAAGCCCACGGCUUAACCGUGGGACUGCAUUUGAAACUGGAGGGCUUGAGUGUCAGAGAGGGCAGUGGAAUUCCCAGUGUAGAGGUGGAAUGCGUAGAUAUUGAGAGGAACACCAGUGGCGAAGGCGACUGCCUGGACGGUAACUGACGCUGAGGCACGAAAGCGAGGGGAGCAAACA
Molecule: ribosomal RNA, 399 nt
Filed under: uncultured bacterium
Lineage: Bacteria
Description: partial 16S ribosomal RNA
Rfam family: Bacterial small subunit ribosomal RNA
Source: RNAcentral